RNAcentral lists this long non-coding RNA (1476 nucleotides) under Sparus aurata (gilthead seabream). Its description in RNAcentral is "lncRNA (ENSSAUG00010009069.1)". The record is from RNAcentral. Lineage: Eukaryota; Metazoa; Chordata; Actinopteri; Spariformes; Sparidae.
AUGCUAUUUGAUCACAAGCAUGUAGCAAAUGUCACAUUGGAGAUGGACAGGAGGAAGCCCUGUCUUAUCCUGACGGAUAUCCUAAAGACAGAACAGGGCAGGGCUCAUAUGGAAAGGAUAAGUAAGAGGUGUAGCAUGGCAAAUCGAGGACAAGUGUCAAGCACAUGGAGGGAGAGUGGUCCGUGCAAAGAGGAACCCCUGAUCACCAGAGACACGAGGUCAGGUCAGAGGGUGGCCAAGAACGAUAAGAAUAAGAAUGUAACCCCGAAAUGCAACCAGAAGGCUGUCUCCUCUCCUUCUCAAAGAUCACGAUUGCGGCGAAGGUUACAAAAUACUGAUGACGAAGUGGACAAAGAAGAAAAAGACAUCGAGGAGGUGAUAAUCGGCAAGGACAGCGGAGAGGACUACAAACUGGAAGUUGUUGAUUGUGGGUUGUCAGUGAGGUGGGAUCCUGCCGAGGAUUCGGGAGGAUGUGAUGAGUUCUCCCCAGCUCGCAUCAAGGACAGGUGGACCGAUUCAGAAAAAGAAUUACAACACAGUUUGAAGAGGAAAAGAAAGGAUACAGGGUCCCAGUGCAAUGGAACUGGUACCUCAAAAUGCCACCGUGAAAGUGUGCUUCGCCUCACUGGAGAAGACCGAAGAGAUGGAGGACCAGACCCUCCAGAUAUUUGCCUGGAAGAAGGUGGAGAAGACGGAGAUCUGGAGAGCCUGGACCGUAGCAUUGUACAAUUCACUGUGGGAGCAGAGGAUCCUACAGAGGGUCUGCUUCCAAUCAUCAGUGCCAAUAUGCAGGCUGGAGACUUUAUUGUUACCCCCAUACAAAGUCCAUCAUCAGGCCAGGACAACACAACCAAAACCAGCCCAUCUGAACCCAUUAUCCUGUCCAGUGACGAUGAGGAGAGCAGUGACGUUCCUCAGCUCUGCAGCCCAGCGGUCCAUACACUGGUCACGUUGGAAGACGCAAUACAGGGACAAUCCCCAGAUGGAGCUGGGGCCGAACAUCAAGAAGCUUCUGACUUGGAAAACGUACAGCUGCUGCAUGUAGUUGUAGAAGAUCUUCCUCCAAUGGAAGUUUCUCUCAUCCCCGCUGUAGACUACACCUGCAUGCAGGUGGGCUUCUCCACCCUGCACUGUGGAGGUUACCAAGGGAAAUCGAAUGGAGACAUCAUGAUGGCAGAUGAAAAAGUCAUCAUCCCACUGAAGGACUCCAGUGAAGAGGUGGAGGUCAUGGUAACCUUUGAGCGUAAAGAGCUGCGGAGGUACAGCGUUUGGGAGCAGCAGGAACUGGAGGCCCAGGAGCUUCACUUUAGGAGCAACGAGGAGCUUUCCCCUCCCGCUUUCCUUCUGCUUUGUGUGUCAGAAACGGCUGGAGCUGCAGUACAUCGGGACCUCCUCAAGCUCUGUGUUGAUCAAGAGGCAAUCAUGAACACGGGUGAGAAGGCUCCCAGUGUAGAUACAAAUUGGGAGUUCACGUAG